CCUACGGGAGGCAGCAGUGGGGAAUAUUGCACAAUGGGGGAAACCCUGAUGCAGCGACGCCGCGUGAGUGAAGAAGUAUUUCGGUAUGUAAAGCUCUAUUAGUAGGGAAGAAAAUGACGGUACCUGAUUAAGAAGCCCCGGCCAACUACGUGCCAGCAGCCGCGGUAUUACGUAGGGGGCGAGCGUUAUCCGGAUUUACUGGGGGAAAGGGGAGCGUAGACGGUUGGUCAAGUCUGGUGUGAAAUGCCGGGGCUUAACCCCGGAGCGGCUUUGGAAACUGUGCAGCUAGAGUGCAGGAGAGGUAAGUGGAAUUCCAGGUGUAGCGGUGAAAUGCGUAGAUAUUAGGAGGAACACCAGUGGCGAAGGCGACUUACUGGACUGUAACUGACGUUGAGGCUCGAAAGCGUGGGGAGCAAACAGGAUUAGAUACCCGAGUAGUC
RNAcentral lists this ribosomal RNA (440 nucleotides) under uncultured bacterium. RNAcentral describes it as "partial 16S ribosomal RNA". It matches the Rfam family "Bacterial small subunit ribosomal RNA", at positions 338 to 795 of the family's 1533-position model. The record is from RNAcentral.